This 253-nucleotide unclassified non-coding RNA is filed under the name uncultured Sphingobacteriales bacterium. Its description in RNAcentral is "contains 16S-23S intergenic spacer region". It matches the Rfam family "Bacterial small subunit ribosomal RNA", at positions 524 to 776 of the family's 1533-position model. The record is from RNAcentral. Lineage: Bacteria; Pseudomonadati; Bacteroidota; Sphingobacteriia; Sphingobacteriales.
GACGAAGGAUGCAAGCGUUAUCCGGAUUCAUUGGGUUUAAAGGGUGCGUAGGCGGACGCAUAAGUCAGUGGUGAAAGCUCCAGGCUUAACUUGGAAACUGCCAUUGAUACUGUGUGUCUUGAGUACAGAUGAUGUUGGCGGAAUAUGACAUGUAGCGGUGAAAUGCAUAGAUAUGUCAUAGAACACCGAUUGCGAAGGCAGCUGACAAAACUGUAACUGACGCUGAGGCACGAAAGUGCGGGGAUCAAACAGG